RNAcentral lists this transfer RNA (49 nucleotides) under Krugiodendron ferreum. RNAcentral's name for it is "partial tRNA-Gln". The record is from RNAcentral. RNAcentral also lists the same sequence under 1 other name. Lineage: Eukaryota; Viridiplantae; Streptophyta; Magnoliopsida; Rosales; Rhamnaceae.
GCAACGGGUUUUGGUCCCGCUAUUCGGAGGUUCGAAUCCUUCCGUCCCA